GUUGAACCAUCCCUGCAUCCCUGGGAUGAAUCCCACUUGGUCAGGGUGUAUGAUCUUCUUGACGAUCUUCUGCAUUCUGUUUGACAGUAUCUUAUUAAGGAUUUUUGCAUCUAUGUUCAUUAGUGCGAUUGACCUAUAGUUCUCUCUUUUGGUUGGGUCUUUCUCUGCUUUGGGGAUCAAGGUGAUGCUUGCUUCCAGGAAUGAAUUUGAGAGUAUUGCUUCCCUUUCAAUUUCCUUGAAGAGUUUAAACAGUAGUGGCAGUAGUUCUUCUCUAAAUGUCUUGUAGAAUUCAGCAGUAAAGCCAUCAGGACCUGGGCUUUUCUUAGUUGGUAAGUUUUUAGUUACAUUUUCAGUUUCAUUGGUUGAUAUUGGGGUGUUUAGAAUUUUUAGAUCUUCUUCAUUCAACUUUGGUAAUUCAUAUGUAUUUAGGAAUCUGUCCAUUUCUUCUGUGUUUUCCAUCUUAUUGGAGUGUAGGUUCUGGAAGUAGGUAUUGAUGAUCUUCUGGAUUUCUGCUGGGUCUGUUGUGACUUCACCCUUUACAUUUCCAAUUUCAUGGAUUUGAGUUUCCUUUCCUUUUUUCAAUAAGUUUGGCUAAGGGUUUAUCAAUUUUGUUUAUUCUUUCAAAGAACCAUCUCUUUGGUUCAUUGAUUUUUUUUUGUAUCAUACUCUUAGUCUCCAUUGCAUUGAUUUCUCCUCUGCUAUUUAUAAUUUCUUCCCUUGUAUGAUGGGUUUGUCAUACUCUUCUUCUUCUAGAAGCUUGAGGUUCAGUAUCAGGUUGUGUAAUUGAGCUCGCUGUGUUUUCCUAAUGUGACUAUUCACUGCUAUGAAUUUCCCUUCAGAAGACUGCUUUCACUGUGUUCCAUAGAUUCCAAUAUGUUGUACUGUCACUGUCAUUUAAUUGUAGGAACUGUUUGAUUUCUUCUUUAAUAUCCUCUGUGACCCAGUGGUUAUUCAGAAGUGUGUUGUUCCACUUCCAUGUGUUUAUGAAAUUCUUGUGGUUUCUUUUUCUAUUCAUCUCCAAUUUCAUUGCAUAUGGUCUGAUAAUAUACAGGGGACAACUUCAAUUUCUUUGCACUUACUUAAACAUGCUCUAUGAGUGAGUAUGUGGUUUAUUUUACAGAAUGACCCAUGUGCAGCUGAAAAAAACAUAUAUUCUGAUUUUGUGAGGUGGAACACUCUGUAAACAUCUCUAAAUUCAUUUGUUCAAGAGUUUAUGUUCUAGUAUUUUGUUGUUUAUAUUUUGUCUAGUUGAUCUAUUUGUGACAGUGGGGUAUUGAGUUCCCCCACUACGAUUGUAUUAGUGCUGAUUUGAUUUUUUCAUGUCAAUUAGUAUUUGUUUUAUAUAGUUGGGCAUACUAGUGUUUGGUGCAUAGAUAUUUAUGAUUGUCAUCUCUUCCUUUUGGAUUGUUCCCUUUACAAGGAUGUAGUGUCCUUUGUCUCUCUUAAUCAGUGUUGGUUUGAAAUCCACUUGAUCUGAAAAGAGAAUAGCUACUACUGGUUUUUUUUUUUUUUUGGAUUUCUGUAGUAUGGCAUAUUGUUUUCCACUGUUUAACUUUCAGUUAUGAGUUUCUUUUUGAAUUAAGUGUGUUUCUUGUAUGCAGCAUAUUGUUGGAUUUUGCUUCUUGACCCAUUCUGUCAGUCUAUUUCUUUUGAUUGGUGAGUUGAGACCAUUAACAUUGAUGGUUAUAAGUGAUAAAUAUUGACUUAUCCUUGUCAUGAAUUUUUCUUUUUGUUGGUUUCUCCCCCUUUGCAUUUAAUUCCUUGUAGUGCCUGAUGAUUCAUUCUGUGGGGCUUCAUGGGGUUGUGAUCCUCAUUGUCUUUUCCUAGGAUAUUGUCUAAAAUUUUUUGGAGUGUUGGUUUUGUAUUCAUGAAGUUCCUAAGGUGAUCUUUGUCAUGAAAGUAACUUAUUUCUCCAUCAAUUUUAAAAGAUAGUUUUGCAGGGUACAUCAAUCUGGGUUGGAGGUUGUUUUCCUUUAGGGCUUGAAAUACAUCACUCUAAGGUCUUGUGGGUUUGUGUUGAGAAGUCUGCUGUGAUUCUCAUGGGAUUUCCUUUGUAUGUGAUUUGUUUCUUUUCUCUAAGUUCUUGUAGAAUUUGUUCUUCUCCUGGGUUCCUGGACUCUUAACUAUUAUAUGGCUAUGUGAAGAUUUUUUUUUGAUCACAGCCAGUUUGAGUCCUAAAUGCCUCACUUUUUGCUAUGUCAAGUUCUUUUCUCCUAUUUGGGAAGUUUUCUGCCAUCACAUUUUUGAACAGCUUUUUUACUGUCAUCUGUACUCUCUCCUGUUUCUUCAUUGACUCCAAUCAGUCUUAUGUUAUUCUUCUUUGCAUCAUCUAGCAGCUACUAGAUUGAUUUCUAGUGAUUCCUUAGUAUUUUGAAGAAAUUUUUCUUUUCCUUGUCAAUAUUUGCCAUCCUAUCUUCUAUAUCUGAAAUUCUAUCCUCACAUUGGCUCAUUUUGCUGUGUAAACUUUCAAUGAAGCUUUUCAUUUUCUGAAAAUCACUUCACAUUUGAUUUAUGGUUUCCAUUUGUUUCCUAUGUUGGGAUUCCAUCAUGUUCCUCAGAUCCUCUAUUUUUUUAUUCUGUGUCCUCUCUAGAUUUAUUAAUCAUGUUUUGCACUAUGGGCACAAUCUCUGCUGUUAUCUGAGAAACUAUUUCUGAUUUCAUUUUUCCCAGAUCAUCUGUUGUUGCCAGUUCAGGAAGUCCAGGUGGUUGAGUAUCAGAGUGCUCUGUCUUGUUGCCCUUUGGGGUUGCCUUAGGUGAUCUGGCAGUGUGGUUUCGAGACUUUUUAAUGUGUCUUCUCAUUUCAACAAAUGCCGCCUGCUGCCUUUGUUGAGGCAACUUUUUGCUCACACAAUGAUGUUGAAUUCUCAGCAAGCUACCAAGAAGCCUUUAUUCUUCUGCUCCCCAGUACACCAAUUUCUUAGUUCAGAGUGGUGGUCUUCUGGACCCCUGAGCUGACCUGUUGUCUGGGUAGACUUCUGGCUGUGGCCUGUGUACACUUGGGAUGGUAUCUAGGUGUGCCUCUCACUGGGGCCCCUAUGUAGCUGUUGUCCAGGAGGGCCUUUGGCUGGGGCUGUGCACCCCAAUUCCUGUUGUUGGUGCAGGCUUUGGCUGUGGUCUCCAUGCACUUAUCAGUGGUAUCAGGGUGAGCCUCUGGGUAUCACUUGUGUGCCUGUGUAGCUCUUUUGCAGGUAGGUCCUUGGCUGUUCACAAUGGCAUGCCUGGCCUCUGGCUGAAGCUUGUGGACCUGUGCAGUUCUUUUCUGGGUGGGACUUUGGCAUGGGCACAUGUGCAGGAGCUUCUGGGGUUAGGAUGGAGCCCUGGCUGGGAUCCACCUGUAGCCAUGACAGUUUGGGUCUCACAUCUCCUCCCUGGGAUCUAUGCACACUUACUGAUGAAAUAGUGGGGCUCCUUAGUAUCACAAAAUUUCCUACUAGCUUUCAUUGGUUGUUUUCAUGCUUAUGCAGGUUCUUGAUUUCUCACUAAGGAAUUGGUCCAUGUAUUAUUGUUGAAUCAGUGUUUCUCUGAGGGAAGGAGGAUCUAAGGCUUCCUAUUUUGCCAUUUUGCAGAAGGAUGAGUGUAAUGCAUAAAAGAUUUAGAAAAGCUCCUGGCAUUCAAUAAGCACUCAACAAAUCAUAGCUUCUUUUCUUCUUCUGCCUUGUUGUUGAUAUUUUUUCCUUUACAUUGUCUUAUUUUUCUUCCAAAAUUCAGAAAGUAAUAUAAUGAGAAUUGCAAUAAGAAUAAAAAAUACUAGUACAUUGAAUUCAACCUUAAAAGAGAAAACAGAAGAACUAAAUACAAAUCACAUUUAUUUCUUCUAAAUCAAUAAAAUGCUAACAAGACAUUGUAAUUAUUGGUUCUGAUGAAAUUGGCCUGAGGUACAUUGAUAGGAAGUAAGCAAUGAUGGCACUGUGUGACAGUUUCUGAACAGCAUAACUACCUAUGUUCUAAGCUAUUUCAAUACAGAAAGAACUGGACUAGCAAAACUCAUGAAACAAAUAAUAUCAAGCCAGAGACUCUUGGCAAACUAUAAGAGAGUCAGUUCUUAUUGAAAUCAAUUAAAUGCCAGGACUUCUGUGGUAAGACAGGGGUUACAUAAUUUUGAAUUUAUACUUGAAGAGGGUUUGUACAUAGGAGUGGCUUUGUAUAUUUAUAUUCUGUGAAUAAGUUGUAUAUCAUUAUGACAGUUUCAAAAGUAACACUAUAUGGAGGAUAUUUUAUAUGAACUGGAGGUCUUUAGAGAGCAAUAGAGGGCACUACUAAUAGCUGUGGCAGAAUAACAACUAGAGUACCCCAGAACUUAUCCUAAGGUCACUAAGAAAUCUCUCAUUUAUGUAUGGCAGAAGGAAGAUGUUAAAACUUGUGAGAUUGUCUUUUUCCUGGCUUUCUCCUGAAGCCUUCUCCACUUGGUUCUGUUUUUUUACAUGUCCCAACCUUUUUACACCUGUGGCAAUGACUGAUUAUCUAAUGGUAUAGAUAAGAGCAGUUUUAGUUUUUUUUUGGUACUCCGGAUCAAACCCAGGAGCUUAAGCUUGGGAGGCAGGCACAGUGCCACUGAGCUAAGUCCCUGGCCCUGGAGCAGUUUUUUUUUAUAACAUUAGUUUUAAAAACAAAAGAUUGUAACAGCAUGGAGUUAAAUAUUAGAUACUUUUCUCUAAAGGAAAGCAAACAUCACAGGAAGAAAACCAUUCAUCUUCAAUUGUAAUGAAGAACUUAGCAGCUAUAUUUGUUCCUAUGUGUCUAUUUCUUUCUCUACCUGUACAUUUAUUUAUCCUCCUCUUGACUCAAGCAGGCCCAUACUGUAUUAGUUAGGAAAAAUUACUCUUUGAUUAUAAGUUAAAGAGAAAUUCAAAGUAAGCAACACAGUGAGGAGGAAACCAUGAUAAUAGCCCUUCCUUUCCUCUAGCAUUUUUCUGUGAUGUGACGUUGAUAAUACAUAAUUACUUUUUAAACUUAAUGCCAAAUUCCUCGUGAAUCUUUAUAGUUUGCUUCUAUAUGAACCUAGAAACUCCUGGAAUUUACUACCUAGUUGGGCUUCCAUGGGUCUUGCAGAAUUUGAGAAAUAUGUCAUUAUUUAUUUUGAGUGAGAAAUUAUUUCAGUUUCUUGAGGUUGCAGGUCAGUUACAUGGCUGUGGUUUUGUGAGGCACAACUUCUCUUCAUGUAUUAUGUUCUCUUUUAAAGUUUUGAAAGGCAUAUUCAUGAGGUUCUGCUGUUCUACACAACAUAAUAGAAUCCUGGUUUUCCCUUUUUCACUGUUGAACAGGUGAUCUUUUUCUACCUUAUACAAGUGACCUUGAAAUGGAGGCACUGACCCCUGGGGGUUUUUUGUUUUAGAUCAUUGUAUUUUCCUCUGUAGAUUGAGAAGCCUAGUCAUGGAAUGCAUUGGUUUACUGAAGAUUCUCUGGAGUUUUGAACUAUGCCACUUUAAAUUUCCUGCAUUCUUUCUUUCUUUAUAUCCUUCUCCUCUCCCCCUGGAAUAUAGCAUCAAGGCAAGUUUUCUGAUGAGAAUGAAUGCAAAGAAUGUACCUCUCCAGAGAAAGGAAGUAUGAAUAAAACGAUCUCUGGUUUUCCAAAUACAGGAUGCUUUUUUCUUUUUGCUUAUUGAAAUUUUUUCUCCCUAACAGGUUACCUCUAAAAAACCUUUAUAUGAAACUAGCUGCAGCAAGGGCAUUAAAAAAGCCUCAUCUGUAUGGAAUCAUAUUUUGGAAAGCCUAUUAAAAAGCAGAAUUUUAAUUAAAAGAUCUUUGCAUGACUCUUAAAUCCUGGGUUAGUAUGAAUCUUCUUUCCUCUAUACCUUGUGGUGUAAAGGAUGGUUAGUAUGGGUAGAUGUAUGGUUACAGAAAGCUCAUUUAAGCCCAGAGAAGCAGGAUAGCAAAGUAGGAAACAGCCUCAGGUCAGAGUUGGACAUUCUUUUGUUUGAAUACCUAGACCUGUGCUUGCUGGGGAGACCUUGGGCAUGUUACCUAAAUUUUCUGGGUCAUAAUUUCCUCAUCUAUACAAUUGGGUAAUGAUUACGUACUUCUCAUUGGUGUUGUGAAGGUUAAAUGAAAUAGAGGAAUAAAGCCCAGUACUUGGUACAUCAAAGCAUUCAAUAAGUACAAGACAUGUUUUCUUAUUUAUAGCGUGGCAGUGCAGUCUGACCUUGCCAUACUUCUUGGCUCAUUUUUAUUCCACUGUGUUUUCUUUUGUCUGUACUAGGAAAAGUAAAGCCUCACACUACAAUGCAAAUGAAAUAUCUUGAAAGUUUGAGGGACCAUUUAUAUAACUAACCUGUAUUUUUCUUUUCUAACCCGUGUUCAUGUUUGUACUCUUCAAACUGUGUAUACAGCCAGAGAAUCUUUAAUAAAUUCAGUUCUCAAUAGCAACAACACACACAGGGUCAUGUAAAUCAACAUAAUGCCUUUUCUUUUAUUACCAAGAAGCUUGAACAUUGCUUCUCAAUAAAACUCAUACAACACUGACUUAUUAAAGAUGUUAUUUAACAUAAUUUUAAAUAUAGCAAAUAAUAGCUCACCCAGAAUGCUAUGUACCCAACAUGUGCUAAGUGCAUCAUGAAGAUUGGAUUUUUUGCUGGGUCUGUUGUAAUUUCACCCUUUUCAUUUCUAAUUGCAUGUAUUUGGGCCUUGUCUUUCCUUUUUCUGAUAAGUUUUGCUAAGGAUUUGUUAAUUUUGUUGAUUCUUUCGAAGAACCAACUCUUGGCUUCAUUGAUUUUUUUGUAUUGUUCGAUUGCAUUGAUUUCUGCCCUGAUCUUUAUAAUUUCCUCCCUUUUAUGAACUUUGGGUUUGUCCUACUCUUCUCUUUCUGUAAGCUUGAGGUUCAGCAUCAGGUUGUUUAAUUGGGCUCACUUUGUUUUCCUAAUAUGAGUAUUCGCUGGUAUGAUUUUCCCUCAUAAGACUGCUUUCAUUGUGUCUCAUAGAUUCUGAUAUGUUGUGUUGUCAUUGUCAUUUAUUUGAAGGAACUGUCUGAUUUCUUCUUUAAUGUCCUCUGUGACCCGUUGGUUAUUCAGAAGUGUGUUGUUCAAUUUCCAUGUGUUUGUAAAUGUUUUUGCAGUUUCUUUUGCUAUUGAUCUCCAAUUUCAUCACGCUAUGGUCUGAUAAUACACAGGGGAUAACUUCAAUUCCUUUUUACUUACCUAAAUAUGUUCUAUGAGGAAGUGUGUGUUCUAUUUUGGAGAACGACCCAUGUGCAGAUGAAAAGAACGUGUAUUCUGAUUUUGUGGGGUGGAACACUCUGUAAACAUCUGUUAAAUUCAUAUGUUCAAGAGUUUGAGUUCUAGUGUUUUGUUGUGUGUGACAAUGGCAUAUUGAGGUCCCCCAUUCCUAUCGCAUUAGUACUUAUAUGGUUUUUCAUGUCCUUUAGUAUUUGUUUUAUAUAGUUGGGUGCACUAGUGUUUGGUGUAUAGAUGUUUAUGAUUGUAAUCUCUUCUUCUUGGAUUUGUCCCUUUACAAGGAUAUAGUGUCCUUCUUUGUCUCUUAAUCAGUGUGGGUUUGAAAUCCACUUGGUCUGCAAAGAGGAUAGCUACUCCUGCUUAUUUUUGGGUUUCUUUCGCAUGGAGUAUUGUUUUCCACCCUUUAACUUUCAGUCUGUUAGUUUAAUUUUGAAUUGUUUUUUUUUUGAAUGCAGCAUAUUGUUGGAUCUUGCUUCUUGACACAUUCUGCCAGUCUAUUUCUUUUGAUUGGUGAGUUGAGACCAUUAACAUUGAUGGAUAUAAAUUAUACGUAUCGAGUUAUCAUUGUCCUGACUUUGUCUUUUUGUUUGAUCUUCCCCCUUUGUUUUUAAUUUCUUGUAGUGCCCAGUGGAUUCAUUCUGCUGGGCUUCCUGGGGUUGUGAUCCUCAUUGUCUUUUCCUAGAAUUUUGUCUAAAAUUUUUUGGAGUGCUGGUUUGGUAUUUAGGAAGUUCCUAAAAUGCUCUUUGUCAUGAAAGUAUCUUAUUUCUCCAUCAAUUUUGAAAGAUAGUUUUGCAGGGUACAUCAAUCUGCGCUGGAGGCUGUUUUCCUUUAGGGCUUGAAACACAUCACUCCAGGCUCUUCUUGCUUUGAGGGUUUGCAUUGCAAAAUUUACUGUGAUUCUGAUGGGAUUUCCUUCGUAUGUGAUUUCUUUCUUUUCUUUAACUGCUUGUAGAAUUUUGUUCUUCUCUUGGGCUUCUGUAAUCUUAACAAUUAUUUGCCUAUGCAUAGAUUUUUUUUUGAUCAAGGCUAGUUGGAGUUCUAUAUGCCUUGCUUAUCUGUAUGUGAAAUUCUUUUCCCGUGCUUGGGAAGUUUUCUGCCAUCACUUCUGUAAACAGUUUUUUUUAGGUCAUCUGCACUCUAUCCUGUUUCUUCAUUGACUCCAGUCAGUCUUAUGUUAUUUUUCUUUGCAUUGUCUAGCAGCUGCUGUAUUGAUUCCUCAUGGUCCCUUACAAUUUUACAGAAUUUUUUCUUUUCAUAGUCACUAAUUGCAAUCUUAUCUUCUAUAUCAGAAAUUCUGUAUUCACAUCAGCUCAUUCUGCUGCAUGGACUUUCAGUGGAGUUUUUAAUCUCCUGGAAAUCUGUUUGCAUCUAUUUUAUGGAUUCAAUUUGUUUCCUAUGUUGGCCUUACAUCAAGUUCCUCAGCUCCUCUAUUUUUUUAUCUGAAUCCUCUCUAGAUUGAUUAAUCAUGUCUUGCACUAUGGGCACAAUCUUUGCUGUUAUGUCAGAAAUUAUUUCUUAUUUCAUUUUUUCCAGAUCCUCUUUCUUUGCUCAUUCAGGGAAUACACAUGGUUGAGCAUCAGAGUGUUCCAUCUUGUUUCCCAUUGGGGUUGCUGUUCGUGGUCUGGAAGUCUGGUUCUGAGGCUUGUUUACCUGUCUUCUCAUUUCGAUGGGGUGGUGGGAUUCUGGGCACCCACGUGGCUUACCUCCUCUGUGCUGGGAGCUGUGGCAUGCCUACUCAGAAGACUUCUGCAGGCUGGGAGCUGCAGCACACCUACCCCGAAGCCUCCUCCUGGCUGGGAGCUGUGGCACUCUGACCUACAAGUCUUCUCUGGGCUGGGAGCCAUGGCAUGCUGACCUGGAGGCCUCCUCUGUGCUGGGAGCUGUGGCAUGCCUACCUGGAUGCCUCCUCCAGGCUGGGAGCCCUACAUGCCUACCUGGAAGCCUUAUCCACACUGGGAGCCAUGGCAUGCCUACCCGGAAGCCUACUCCUGUCUGGGAGCUGUGGCACACUGACCCGGAGGCCUCCUCUGUGCUGGCAGCCAUGACAUGCCUACCUAGGAGCCUCCUCCAGACUGGGAGCCAUGGCACGCUUACCUGGAAGCCUUGCCCAUGCUGGGAGCCUUGGCACGCCUACCCAGAAACCUCCUCCUAUGUGAGAGCUGUGGCAUGCUGAGCCGGAAGCCUCCUCUAUGCUGGGAGCUGUGGGAUGCCUACCCGGAAGCCUCCUCCAGGCUGGAGCCACUGCAUGCCUACCCAGAAGCCUUGUCCAUGCUGGGAGCCACCGGAUGCAGACCUGGAAGUUUCCUCUGGGCUGGGAGCCAUGGUACACCAACCUGGAGGCCUCCUCUGUGCUGGGAGCCAUGGCACAACUAUCCAGAAGCCUUCUUUCCUUUUUUUGAUAAGGUUGACUAGGGAUUUGUCAAUUUUGUUUUUUCUUUUGAAGAACCAACUCUUGGCUUCAUUGAUUUUUUUGUAUCAUUCUCUUAGUCUCCAUUGGGUUGAUUUCUGCUCUUAUCUUUAUAUUUUCCUCCCUUGUGUGAACUUUUUGUUUGUUCUACUCUUCUUUUUCUAGAAGCUUGAGGUUCAGUAUCAGGUUGUUUAAUUGGGCUCAUUCUGUUUUCCUAAUAUGAGUAUUCAGUGCUAUGAAUUUCUCUCAAAAGACUGCUUUCAUUUUGUCCCAUAGAUUCUGAUAGGUUGUAUUACCAUUGUCAUUCAAUUGAAGGAACUGUCUGAUUUCUUCUUUAAUAUCCUCUGUGACCCAUUGGUUAUUCAGAAAUGUGUUGUUCAAUUUCCAUGUGUUUAUGAAAUUUUUUGCAGAUUCUUUUGCUAUUGAUCUCCAAUUUCUUUGCACUAUGGUCUGAUAAUAUAGAGGAUAACUUCAAUUCCUUUGCACUUACUUGAAUAUGUUCUAUCAGUGAGUAUGUUGUCUAAUUUGGAGAACAACCCAUGUGCAGCUGAAAAGAAUAUGUAUUCUGAUUUUGUGGGGUGGAACACUCUGUAAACAUCUGUUAAGUCCAUUUGUUCAAGAGUUUGAUUGAGUUGUAGUAUUUCAUUGUUUGUUUUUUGUCUAGUUGAUCAGUCUAUUUGUGACAGUGGGGUAUUGAGGUCCCCCACUACUAUUGUAUUAGUGCUUAUUUGAUUUUUCGUGUCCAGUAGUAUUUAUUUUAUAUAGUUGGGCACACUAGUGUUUGGUGCAUAUAUAUUUAUGAUUGUUAUCUCUCCCUCUUGGAUUGUUCCCUUUACAAGGAUGUAGUGUCCUUCUUUGUCUCUCUUAAUCAGUGUUGGUUUGAAAUCCACUUGAUCUGAAAAGAGAAUAGCUAAUCCUGCUUUUCUGGGGGGUUUCUGUCUGAUGGAGUAUUCUUUUCCACCAUUUAACUUUCAGUUGAGUUUCUUUUUGAAUUAAGUGUGUUUCUUGUAUGCAGCAUAUUGUUGGAUCUUGCUUCUUGACCCAUUCUGCCAGUCGAUUUCUUUUGAUUGGUGAAUUGAGACCAUUAACAUUGACGGUUAUAAUUGAUACGUAUUGACUUAUCAUUGUCAUGACUUUUUCUGUUUGUUGGAUUCUCCCCCUUUGCAUUUAAUUUCUUGUUGUGCCUGAUGGAUUCAUUCUGCUGUGCUUCCUGGUGUUGUGAUCCUUGUUGUCUUUUCCUAGGAUAUUGUCUAAAAUUUUUUGGAGUGCUGGUUUGGUGUUCAUGAAGUUCCUAAGGUGCUCUUUGUCAUGAAGGUAUUGUAUUUCUCCAGCAAUUUCAAAAGAUAGUUUUUCAGGGUACAUCAUUCUGGGUUUGAGGCUGUUUUCCUUUUGGUCAUGGAAUAUGUCACUCCAAGCUCUUCUUGCCUUGAGUGUUUGCAUUGAGAAGUUUGCUAUGAUUCUGUUGGGCUUUCCUUUGUAUGUGAUUGGUUUCUUUUCUCUAACUGCCUGUAGAAUUUUAUUCUUAUGUUGGGUUUCUGGAAUCUUAACAAUUAUAUGCCUCUGUGUAGAUUUUUUUUUGAUCAAGGCUAGUUGGAGUUCUAUGUGCCUCACUUACCAGUUUGUCAAGUUCUUUUCUUCUGCUUGGGAAGUUUUCUACCAUCACUUCUGUGAACAGUUUUUUUAUGUUGUCUGCACUCUCUCCUGUUUUUUCCUUGACUCUGAUCAGUCUUAUGUUAUUCUUCUGUGCAUUGUCUAGCAGCUGCUGGAUUGAUUCCUCAUGGUCCCUUACUAUUUUAAAGAAAUUUUUCUUUUCCUGGUCAGUAAUUACAAUCUUAUCCUCUAUAUCUGAAAUUCUGUCUUCACAUUGGCUCAUUCUGCUGCAUAAACUUUCAGUGGAGUUUUUAAUCUCCUGGAAAUCUGUUUGGAUCUGUUUAAUGGAUUGCAUUUUUCCUAUGUUGGGAUUCCAUCAUGUUCCUCAGCUUUUCUAUUUUUUUAUCUGUGUCCUCUCUAGAUUUAUUAAUCAUGUCUUACACUAUGGGCACAAUCUCUGCUGUUAUGUGAAAAAUUAUUUCUGAUUUCAUUUUUUCUAGACCCUCUGUUGUUUCCAGUUCAGGGAGUCCAGGUGGUUGAAUAUCAGAGUGUUCCAUCUCGUUUCCCUUUGGGGUUGCUGUAGGUGAUCUGGAAGUCUCAUUUUGAGACUUGUUCAUGUGUUUUCUCAUUUCCACGGGGGUUGGGGUGGGUGCUCCUGGUGCCAGGUUGCUUAUUCCUCUGCAGUGGGAGUGGUGCUAUGGAGGUUCAAGAGCCUCCUUCUCUGUGCUGGGAGCAGUGGUAUGGCAGCCCAGAAAGUCCUCCUCUCUGGAUAUUAAUCUUUUGUUGAAAGAAUAUGACAAAGAUGUUGUCCCAUUUUAUAACUUUCUUUUUACUCUGUUGUUUCCUUUGCUAAACAGAAGCUUUUAAAUUUGAUGUAUUCUCAUUUGUUGAUUCUUGCUGUUAUUUCCUGAGCUAGUAGAGUCCUAUUCAGGAAGUCACUGCUUUGAGUAUAGCAGGAAGGAUUUCUUCUGUUUUCCUCUAGCAUUUUCAAAGUUUCAGAUCAUAAGGUCUUUGAUCCAUUGUGAGCUGCUUUUUUUGUGGAUUAGAGAUGUUUGUCCAGUUUCCAUCUUCUAUAGGUGGAUAUCCAAUUUUCCCAGCUCCAUUUGAUAAAAAGAUUGGCUUUUUUUCAACAUACAUUUUUGCAACCUUUUUCAACAAUCAGGUGACUGAUGCUUCGUGAGUUUAUUUUGGGGUCUUCUGUUCAGUUCCAUUGUUUUGUAUGUCUUUCUAUGCCAAUACCUUGCUUUUUUAAUAAUGAAUGUAGAGUGUAUUUUGAAAUUAUUGCUGUAAUAAUUCCAGCAUAGCGGUUUGUUCUGAGUUUCUGGUUAUUUGGGGGUUUUCUGCUUCCAUAUGAAUUUAGCAUUGAUUUUUCUAGUUCUGUGAGGAAUUAUAUUGGUAUUUUGAUGGAAAUUGUAUUUAAAUUAUUUGGCACUUUUAGUAGUAUGACCAAUUUAAUACUAUUGAUUCUUGCAAUCUGUGAACAUGGGAAAUCUUUCUGUCUUCUAGUGUCCUCUUCAAUUUCUUUCUUCAGUGUUUUAUAAUUGUCACUUUAGAGGUUUCUUACCACUUUGGUUAGGUUUAUUACUUUUUUGUUAUUGUGAAUGAAAUUGUUUUGAUUUCUUUCUCAGUGAAAUUAUUGUCAUUGUAUAGGAAAUUAUGAGGUUUUGUAUGCUGAUUUUUGUAUUCUGGUACUUUACUAAAUUUGUUUAUGAGAUCUAAGAGACUUUUGGUAGAUUCUUGGUUUAAAAUUAUAACACUGACAAAAUGGAUAGUUUGACCUCAUCCUUUCCUUUUUGUAUCCAUUUUAAGAAAAUAUUUGUUCUAAUAAGUAUUUCUUUCCAAGAUGAAGAGACUCAAAUCUAAAUAGAUUAAAUGAUUUUUCACAAGGCAUAAAAGGAGUGGCAAAAUUGAACUAGAAGUCCAUUUGUUUUAGUCCUGGGUGAGUGAUGCAAGGGCUGUGUUUAAUUAUUCCUACAGUGACACUUUUCACUAACAACAUGCCUUGCUCCAGCUUAGAUAUCUGUUCUAAUCCUUUCAGAUCCAGCACAAUAAAUUAAUUCAUCUGUUUGCUCCUAGUUGCUUAAAGAAAAUAGAAUUGUUAAACCAUCUAGACUAACUUCAAUCUUUUUGCAAGAGGACACAACCAUACUUUGUUUAAAAAUACUGAAGCUGGACAUCUUGAGAAAUUAGAGAUGAAGCAUGAAUCUAAGAAAUAAUAGAUUUUAAAGAAAUAGAUAAAAUAACCACUUGAGUGACAGAUUUAUGAGUUGGAGUCAAACUUAGCAUAUUUCAGUUAUGAGCCUCCAGUUAUUUUCAGUGACCCUGGCUGUAGGAUUGACUUUACAGGUGUCCUGUUUACAAAACAUUUUUUUUAACAGUGCAGGCUUCAGUGCCAAAGUUAUUGACAGUGUUUUAUGGGGAGAAGAAAAGCUGUCUGUGAUGAGAUUAGUGAUAAAUUAUAUUUAAUGAUUUUUCAAAUUACAGUUGUAUUAGAAAAUUGUUAUUUGACUUGUCCUGUUGAGUAAACAUAAACUGAGUUGUAGUAAAUCUUUUUCUACACUUCUUGAAACUUGAGGCAGGCAUUUCUUAUUUUGGAUGUAGAGGACUCAGUGGUAAAUUUCUUGGAACUUGGCUGCUUUCUCCAUGUCACCCAGAUUUGUUAGCCUACUUAGGUAUUUCAUGGGUAUUCUAAACACAGAGUCCUUACUUUCUACCUUCCAAAGAGAAACUUAGAUUGCCAACCCCCCACCCUCAACCUCUUAAAUGAAUGAAGUGUAAAAUUUCAGUAUAAUAGAAAAAGGAAAGACCCUUGAAUGGGGUUGACUAUGCUUUCCUAAGGUAAGGUAAAUCAUAUACACAUAAUUGAUUUCAAGGUUGAAAUUACUAUCUCAUAACUUCACACACAAAACAGAAUUCAUAAAAUGUUUUUAGGUUUUCAGAUUAGUGACACCUGAUAGGAAAGAUAAUACUAAAUAGAUACUUCCACAAGGCUAGAAAAUUAACUGAGUGUUCAUUGUGAAUGUCAGGUUUUCCUGGACACUGUUGUGUGCUGUAUGCUUGACCUUCCAUUGGCUGAAAAGGCCCAGUUUUUGUUCUGUGAAGCAACUUCACCAAAAUCUGCAUGUUUUAUCUCCUACUUCUGUGAAGACUGACCUGGAAGUUCAAAAAUAGCCCACAUUUUCCACAUGCAAGACUCAGCUUGAUGAUCUCACAAGACUACCUUUAUUUGUUUUGAAUUUAAAAUAAUCAGAAAGUAUACAUUCAGAUGAAUCACAGAACCAUGCAUGUCUGAUCUAGAAAGCGAAGUCUCAAGGUCACCUACUCGAGACCUUGCUUUCAUCACUGCCAUCUGGUCUUAUUUGUACUGAAGAUAUUAAUAGUGUUGACAUCCAAUGAUGACUUUUACUUUUGAAUUUAGGAUGUCCCUUUUAUUUAUGGAAAAACUAGACAGAAAAAGCAUACCAAGUUUCUCAGGACUUAAAGAAUGUUGAAGAGUAAUCUAAAAUUUGCCCUUCUGCGUGAGUUUUAUAAAGUAUCUAUUGAAGGUGAAAUGGUCAUGUUUUGAGGCACCAUCUUCUCUGAUAAAAUCCAUCCAUUCCAGAUGAAGGCAGUAAUGUUCUGUGGAGAUAGUCAAGAUGUCUCCUGGACUGCUGAGGCAGGAUUUUCUGUUACUUUUUAUACUAAUUCUACAAGUGUUGGCUUUCUUUAUAAAUUAUAGGAAUAAUGUUUUAAUAUUCCUUCAGAUAGGAAAGAGAAAGGAAAAAGGAGAAGUAGAGAGGGAGAGAGAGAGAUUGAUUUUAUAUUUUAAUGUACUCUACUGAAUAGGAAACUAUGCAGAUAUGGUUUCAAAUUUCUCUUAACACUGAUUGCAUUUUAGUUUUCAAUUAAAUUUAAUAGCAACAAUUGUUUGGGGUUAAAUUGUCAUAAAAGUAUACCACAAAAAUUCAAAUGAAUAGUAAGAAUUUUCUAAUUGAGGAUAAUCUUGUGUUUAAAAGAUGAAGUCAAGAAUGAGACCUAACAUUCCCCUUUCUAAGGUUACAUAUAUAUUUCAGAUAAAAUGGCCAUUACCUGCUCUGGCAGACAAGAAGAGAAGCAUCCUCUUUAUGUGGGGAAUGUGGUCUGACUUUUGCAUUUAGAAAAUGUCCAGGGGAAUCUGAAUGAGUUCCUUUAGGAACCAGGUUCCACCCAAUAGUUUUCCUCUCUUUUCCUUAUUUGUGGUUGUCAUCUUGGUAAGUGUCAGAGCUCCAGGAUUUAUACUACAGGAAGCAGCAAGAUGAAGGAGGGAUGAAAUGUUUCCUUUAUAGACAACUCUAGAAGGGGAUAACUUCACUUUUUAUUAUAAUCUUGUGCAUAAACAUUAGUCACUUGGUAAUAACUAAGGCAAAGUGGCUGGGAAAGUUAGUUCAUAUUCUGAGCAGUCAGAUGCUCAGCAGAAACCAAGGGUUCUACUCCUAAAAGGACACAGAGAGAAUCGAUAUGGGGGAAUAAUUAGCAGUCUCCUUGAUAUUAUUUGAUAGUAGUAUCCCUUGGGAACUUUAAAAAUACAUAAUCCUGGGCUACAAUCCUGAAAAUUUUGAUCCAGUGGUUCUGGUUUUGACCCAUUGGCAAAAUGAUUCCCACUUUGUAUCUUAUUGAUAAGGUAAAUCACCAGAAAUUUACAUUCCAGUAAAAUUUGCUUUUGUAGAAAAUCUAUUCCUUCAGCUUUCAAAGGGAGAGAUAUAUAACAAAUUGAUAUAUAUGAGGCAUCUUUGCACUUUUUUCUAUUGAGAACUUUCAUUAAAGAUAUUAUACACUAUAAUGUUCAGUCCUUGUAACUGAUUUCUUUUAACAUUCAGACCUAGGUAAACAUGUUUAAAUUAUACUCUAGAAUUUUUUCACUAGAAAAUUGAAAACAUGUAAUACACUGAAAUUUUCUCUUUGCCUGAGCUAGAAAGCAAAGAACUUUAUGUUCUGGCACUGCAGCUUUUCUUAGAAUUUGUGCAGAGGAUUUAUUCUAUUUCCUGAUCUUAAAUAUAUGAAAUAUUGUUGGACUUUGAUCUUUCCAUUUAUAUGCAUCUUUUAUAGGUUUCCUUAAAUUCAAAUUAGAUUUAUAUGAGACAUAAAAUAAUAAAACAGGAAUUUCUAACCUUUGUGUGUAUAGAAUAUAUGGUGAAACUGACAAUAAUAUUUAAUUUUUGAGUAAUUCAUUUGUGAGAACUAUGCUAUAAGCAUUUUAUAACAUCAACCUACAUAUCACCAAUCUGUGUAGUCCACAUAAAUCUUCAUCCCAAAGUGAUUUAGUUUUAGUGUAACAUAUGCAGAAACAUAGUCCAGUCUAACAAAUGUAAUUAAAAACAAGACUCAAGCUUUGAGACACAACUAAUUAAAUAUAGCAGAAGAUCCCUAAUCUCCACUUUCCCUUCAAAUUUCUUGGAUCCUUUAGAACCCAGCAGUUGCAAAAUUUCCUAAACUCUCUCUGACACUCAGCCAAUUUUCUUCCCUUCUCUUUUGGUUUUCUUAUUCAACACCGUGUCCUCUGCUUUUUAAGAGAGGACAGAAUUAAUUUCCACUCUCACCUACUGUUAGUUUAGGCAACUCUAUGGUUCCUAUGCUUUCCCACUUCCCACAGAGGGAAUUGCCUGACUCCUGGAUACAUCGAUCUCCUCUCGAUGGAUUCUCAGGCUGGUCAUACUGUUGAGGUAUUCCCAUUUUUAAUAAGGCACUAAGGUUUUGCAAAAUUAAGCAACCUCUUCAAAGUGACCUGGCUAAGAAUGAAGAUAUUAAAGUACAGGGACACAACUUCAGAGUCUCUGUGCUUAAACUGUAUUCUCUUGUUGCACCUUAUGGCAAGAGAGGGUGGCAUUUCAAAUAUAUUUUCUAGAAACAGUGUUCAUCCUUUCAAACUACUUAUCAUGUUUGAUUUUAAUUGCUCAAUUUUGUCUUUCAUUGUAUGCAUUGUAAGUUCAGUGAGAUAGUUUUGUCUUAUUUAGUACUGAAUUUUCACCAUUAUAUGCACUUCUGGGUACAGAAUAAGCAAAAAAUAUGAAUUAAUAAUCUGAUGAUUAUAUUAAAAAGGGGUGCAGCUUCCCCUAUAACUGUGAUUUGUCAUUAAUAGAGUACUUAGCUCUAUAAUCUCAAGGCUUUUUCAGAAAUAAAGAGUAGUUACUUGCCACAAAAAUAUAAGACCACUGGUAUAUACUUAUGAGUUUUCUUUCUUUCUUGGCUCAUAAAUUGAUUUUGAAGGACAUUUAAAAAGGAUAGUUUAAAAAUGUUUUAAGCAGUGACAACACUGUAUAUGCCAUAAUGGUAAAAGCACAGCAUUUUAUAGGCAGAAAGUUAAAAUAUGGAUCCUAGCUCUGAACACUCUAGGGUAAGAACACUGAAUAAUUUAAAUUUCAAAUUUUUCACUUUAAACUGGGGAUACCACUUGCAAUGGAUGGUUUAUUUGUUGGUACCAAAGGUGGGCUAUUGUGUGCAAAAUGUUUUUGAAAAAUCUCAAUAUUUUAUCUGAAUUAUUACAUUUUUAAAUUGUUAAAAUGUCAUGAAUAAUAACUAUAUCAUCUUUGGAUACAUAAAUGUACAAUAGUGCCACAUUUUAAAACUAAAAGUCUCAAGAGAAAAGGAUAUAGGGGCUUCAACUUUCUUCAUCUAUUUUUGAACAAUAACUAUGGGUGUUAUCAAGUGCAUUUUUAGUGAUAAUAUCCUAAGUUUAAUGAUACAUUCCUCACACCACACACUUUAUGGAGUAGUAAUACACCUUGAUUUAUAUAUAAAUAUGACAGCAAUGCCAUUCUAUAGUAUUGUAAGUAUUUUAAAAAGUAAAACAUUAUUUAUUUCAGUAAACAUUUAGCAAAAUAAAAAUCAGAUUCCAAUUCUCCAUCUUGUUAAGAAAUAAAAUUUGGAAAAUAAACAUCUUCAUUUUGAUAGAACUAAACAGUUAUAGAUCUUUCAUAGUUUUUUUCUGGUUUUAUCAAGGUUUUAAAAAUCAUAUUUUAAAGAGUGAGCAUAAUGAAACAUAAUUAAGUUCCACCAAAUAAACAAUGAGUGCACUUCAACAAUGUCAGUAAUUCAUAAUGUGUAUUAAAUAAAAUUGAGACUCAAGACAAUUACUUUUAAUUAGGUUACAGAAUAUGAGCUAUAGAGAAGUGGCAAGCCUCCAUAGUGUACCGGCAAUUAUUUGAAAAGGUCACUGGAAAACAAAUAUAUUAAGAUCCAAUAGGAGAAUAAACACAGGAGUUUCUAAAAUAUGAAUUUUGAUGAGCUCUAAUUUCACAGUGCUUUACUAUUUUUCAAAUAUGUUCCAAUAAUGUGUUUUCACCUUUAUCCUAUGUAUUGCUGUGAAAUAGGCAGGUUUGCCAUAACAUUUAUGCAAAAACAUAAUGCAGAGGAUGGAUGAUACCCUUGCACUUACUUUCAAAACUUAGUCAUCACCAAAAAUGUAUUUUGCUAGCAUAAUAUACAUUGAACUGGGACACAUGGCCAAGAAAACUAUCUUGCAAAUGUAUAUCAACUAAGUCACUGCCUUCUUGGGGUUUCCCUAUCACUUUUCUUAAGCUAAGGAUCUUCUUCUCAGGUUGUUUCAAAAUACAUUUUUUGUGGCUUUUCCUUCAUAUUCUUAGUUCUAAGAGCUCAUCUAAUUUAUUAUGCAUGUACUAACUGUAUAACUAUGAAAGCUUUAGGUACCAAUGCCUUUUUCAAGCAUCAUUUUUGUAAGAUAUGGACUCUCUAAGCUUUGAAGAAUUGAUUUGAUUAACCCUUUGAAAAGAAUUAGACCCACAUUUUGGAAUGAAGUACAAAAAUUGUAAAUCAUUAAGCACAAAUACAAAAAGACCAUAUAUAGAUAUAUCUUCUGUGUAACUUUUGGUGUAUUAUAAAUUAUCUCCUAAUUAGGUGUGAUCAAGACCAAUAUGUUUUUCCUGGUUCUAUUGAGGAACUUGUUGGAGGAGUGCAUUUUAUUUAGCAUCAUUUGCUCCUUCCUUUUCUGUGUCUUGCACCCAUUGUAUCUCAUGUGGUUCCAUGUCAUUUACAUUGGACAGGUAGAUUAGGGAACAUUUGUUUUAUUGCAACCAACAGAAAGAAAAUGACUGAGUAACUCAAGUAGAAAAUGGAGUCAUUGGAGGUUGCUACAUAUAAUUAAAAAAUAACUAAACAGUUGUGCUUCUGGGAGUCAGGGGCGAGGGGAAGAUCUGAGAUCUUAGUAACUGCUGUUCAUGGAGACACUUGGUCCCCAAAGGACUACAUGUCUUGUUUAAACUUCCGAUUCUCAGGAGAAAUGCAGGGAUUCAUCCAAUUUUGUUUCUAAUGUUCCUACUUCUGCAUCCAUCAUCCAGGGCCAAAAGUGUAAUGGAAUGGCACAAAUAUGGCAGGGUUGGUAUUGCUGGGAGCUAAGAUACACCUUAACUUUGUGUUUGUCACUGUUCUUCACUAUCAUCAGGUUGUUGAUAAGGUCAUUGGAAGGGUUUCUUUCCUUUACAUCAGUAAUUCUUUAAAUUUCAGAAUUUGAGCACCGAAUGCUUAUUAGGUUUUAUCAACAACUCAAUAUAUUUCUAUUUGUUAGUUUCUUGCUCAGAUUGCACAAUGCUGCAAUUAUGACUUUUGUCACCACUUAGGACAAACUGGUCCUUUUUGUACUUCUGGAGAAGGUGGACUCACUUUGCUUUUCAUGGAGAACAUAACUUUUGAGUUGAGGGCCAUCAAAAGAUUACUUUCAGGAGACAGUUCUUCUGACAGCUGUUCAUAUUCAGAUCAUGAUGGUAUCAACAAUGUGCAGAAAGCAGUUGGCCAUCUGAUGCCUCAGAUUCCUUCAUUAGAGUCAUUACCCAAGCUGCAGUGUGUAAGGUAAUUUUGAUUUGUGUAAGCCUAUGAGUUUAUUUGGGGUACUAAAAUGGCUUCUUAAUAUUAUGGAACCUUUUACUUCUUCCAGAGUCUAUCAAAUCUGAUCAUAUUGAUUAUAUUUUAAAUAUUUCCAUAAUUCUCUCUUUAAUACAUGGAGAUUAAAAACAAAAAUUACAGCAGAUAAUCUGAUACUGAAACUAUAUAUCUCUGGAACUUUCUUCAGCUGCUUUGUUUGCCCUGUAGUAGUUUACAGUUGAAUGAGAUUAAUAUCUUUUCUACUAUCAGAUUGUACAGAAUCUAAUUGUACACCUUUGUUGUUUCUGAUC
This 20303-nucleotide long non-coding RNA is filed under the name Heterocephalus glaber (naked mole-rat). RNAcentral's name for it is "lncRNA (ENSHGLG00000044403.1)". Lineage: Eukaryota; Metazoa; Chordata; Mammalia; Rodentia; Bathyergidae. The record is from RNAcentral.